RNAcentral lists this long non-coding RNA (4988 nucleotides) under Marmota monax (woodchuck). The record is from RNAcentral. Lineage: Eukaryota; Metazoa; Chordata; Mammalia; Rodentia; Sciuridae.
CCCGGCCCCAGGGCCCGGCUACGUCACUGCGGCUCUGACGCGCGCUAAUGGAGGCACGGGCGGAGGCGGCGGGGCGCGGGCUUCCUCCCGGGAGGUCCCGGUUCUUGCAACCCACCGCCGCGUCCUUGGCCCUCCUCCAGGGGAACCUCGAUUUUCCAAAUUCGGGAAGGCUGGCUGUCCUUCGACUACUGAUAAGGACGCGAGCGCAUGGUAAAAGAUUUUAACAAUGCCCGGAAAGAAAUAGCUGGACCCGAAAAAGAGACUAAUAAUAGCCACAAGCUAGAGCUCUGCUCGUGUGCUCAGCGCCCUUAAGAACAAUAAUGACGACAACAACCAUAAUAGCUACCAUUUAUUGAGCGCUUACUCUGUGCCAGGCACUGGGUUAAGCGCUUUGCAAGCAACAACCCUCGGAGGUAAGUACCGUUAUUAUCCCUAUUUUGCAGGAAACCGGGGCAGAGAGGUUAAAUAACUUGCCCCAGGGCACACAGCUAGCUGAUGCCAGUGCCAGAAUUCCAACCCAGGUUGUCUGAUCCCAUGUAAUUCUCAUGUCCACCCAUUAUGGUCGGGAUCAUCCUCUCCAUCUUAAAGAUGAGGAAACUAAGGCACAUGGGAAUGUAAGUACCUUGCCCAAGGUCACCUAGCUGGAAAAUGGAUGAGGCAGAAAGCGAACCCAGGGCUCCUCUCUGUCCGCAGAACCCGCGGUCUUGGCCAUAGGCGAUGCCACUUCCAAACCACCUCCGAUAGCCCAGCAGGCUUUGGCCCCUGGUCCCAAGAGGCGCAGCCCCUGAUAGGUUUGGGUGAGUUCCUGUGGCCUCCGAUCCCCUGGUGCAUCGAGUGUUUCCGAGCAUCGUCCCUGCUUGGCCCUCUGGUUUAGAAAAGGAACGCAUCUGCGGGAAUCUCGUCUUGGACCCGGCGCGCGGUCCUGGGAAGGGAUGGAGCGGGGGCGGAUGCAGAGGGAGGGAUCCAGAGUCCCACUUGCGGAGCCGCGGAGCCUGGCCCAGGGUUUGCCCCGCGCAGCCGGCAGAGGGCGCUGCCGCACGCGCCUAGAGUCCCACGGUCACCAGACCUAGGGGCAGGCAUACCUCCACCUCCGGAUGCCUGGACUCAACCCUGGAUCAAGAAGCUUUCUUCCCGGGGGCUGGCACGCCUCAGAGCCCUCCCGACAGUACUGAAUCUGCUUUACCUGACUUCGCUUCCCCAUCUUUUGCGCUUUUGUCACCCCACCAUCUGCCUCCAAGGCUUCCCCACGCCUUACACCACGGAUUGAUUCACCUCCUGCUGAGAGGCGAGAUACUGAUCCCAUUCCAUUAAAAGGCCCUGGAGUUCGCAAAUCCAACUCGACCUUGUCUUCCCUUCCGGUGGGACCUUGGGUGAUUUAAAAUGGGGACGAAUCGAAUCAUCCUCUUGGAAUAGAUAACGAAUUUUCUUUCUUUCUCCAAAAUUAGAGGGGUGGUGGUGGUUAAGAAGGAGUAGACAGAUGAAAGGUUCUAUUUUCAUAAUAGCUACCGCCUAUUGAAGGCUUCUUUUGGGCCAAGCCCUUUAUAUGUCUUAACUCAUUGAUUCUCACUACAGCUCUGAGAGGUCUGGGUAUCGUUCCUACCUGAUGGGUGACUGUGUCAGGAAACUGGUAAGUAGCAAAGCUGGGAUUCCACCAGGAAUAUUUACAUUUUAAGGCAUGUCCCCGUCACCAGGAUGUACAAGGAGACACACUGAUCAAAAGAGGUAGGAUAUACAACCUUAAACUAACUAGAGUGCCCCAUUGAACUGAGGACUGACUAGCUUUCUGGGCUCCACUUUGCGACUCAAAUAUCUGAAACAGAAAAACAAACCCUAAAGGUGCUAUUAGAGACUAGGACCAAGGUUUUUCGCUUCUACUUGGAAGAGCACCCGGAGAGGCCCACUCACUUUCUAUGUCUGGGCUCUAAGGAAAUAAAGGUGGUUCUAGGAAAAUCUGAAAAAUAUGGGAGGAAAAAAAAAUCCCUUCUGUGGUUUUUGCUUUAACCAAGUCUCAUUUUGCUAUUUGCGUUUCAUUUUAAAAUUAAUGUGGCUCUCCCCACCCUUUAAAUUGGCACAUAAAUAGCAAAAACAGAAGGAAAGCCAGCUACAAACUUAAAAUGUGGUGGGUUCUCAGGAAGGAGGGACAUGACUUGAAGUGGAAAUGAGGAUUAAAUGAGGUGCUUUAAACAUUUCAAAGACAGAUUUUCCACAAGGAAUUUAGAGCAUAAGCCCUUAGAAUAAGAGCUCUGUCUGGGCCAGGCUGGGUAUAGUGUCUAGAAUUUGCACUUGCUGAAUAGAUGUGGGAACACAAUCGCACUUGUAGUGAAUGCCUACACCCUCUAACCAUCUGGGCCACCACUGUGCUUAUGGUCUUAAAAUGCAAUCUAGGGGGAUUUUCCUGUCCUCUGAGUCUGUCACUCUGUCAGACUCCUACUUUUCCAGAUGUUUGGUCUGGAAAUUCAGUCAAGGUAAGGCAACUGUUGAUGAUGUCACAUUACUUGGUUACCAUAGAAUAAUGCUUAGCUCUGAAAUCACCAACUGGUGGCUUUUUCAGACAGAGAAAUCAAGGCAGCAAGGACCUCAUGAGACUUGUCACUUAAUAGUUCUGGCUCUAUUUCUCUGUUUUUAAACAAGAAGAAUUUUCCUCAUCACCCAAUUCAAGAGAGCUUGGGCAGUCCCAGGCUGCUUCCUGCUAAAUUCUUGGACUUUUUUUUGUCCUUCCUGACACCUUCUGCCAUGUUUUCAGUGCCUUCACUCCACAAACACGUCUUGAGAUCCCACUCUAUAAAGGUACUGGGGGUAUCCAGCAGUGAGGAACCCAACAUGAAUUCAUCAGAGGUCACCUUCUCCCACUCUUACCUGGAUCCUCACCUCCUGACUCCAACUUCCAUACCAGGUCCUACAAUAGUAAAUGGCUUGCUUCUCCAGCCAGAGACCAUUGCUCAGACACUUCUGACAUCCUGGCAGCUCCUGACAGCUCCCUGACAUCAUGUCCUCGGACCCCAGAUCCCUGUCCUGGUGAUAUCAAUUUGACAGCAGUUCUGGGCCCUCGGAAGCAGGGCUUGGGAAUGUUCUAGGUCCAACACUUGCAUUCUUUCCUGUCCUUUCUAGUUGUCAUUCCUUCAGCUCAUAAGAGCGCUGCUAAUGAUGACUGAGCUAGCUAGGCCAUACUUAGGAAGCAUCUCUUACAAUGAAAAUCCCAUAGUGACAUAAUUCUCCACUGUUCACAGGAAAAUGCUGGAUUAAACAAACGACAGUGACUGUCUGGCAACGGACCCACUGGAUAAUGCUUACCAGUUUUCCAGGUCAUUUUUGUUUUUUAAAUUGAAUCUUGGGAUCAAGUGAUUCACAAUAAUGAGGGGAAGAAAGAACUCUGGGCUUGUUGUAGCUGUCAGGAUUAUCCAAUUGGAAGGGACUUUCGCUCUUCACACCCCCAAAAAGACAAAAUGUUUAAGGUAAAUUGCCAGUUUUUGUUUAUCUGGAAAAUCCAUUACUACUGGAUGAUGUUGGACUUGACCCAUUCCCAAACAAUAAAAAGAGGAUUGAAUGUUAAGAUUCAGAUUUUGUCCCUGAAAAUCCCUUUAGAAAGGGAUUUCCAAAUCAGUAUUCUUACAAUUCUUGACUUUCUCACCCCCAAGUCUGUCCCAUCCCUUCUAGAUAAGAGCAUUAUUUUCUGUCCCUUUGAGGAAGGCAGUGGCCCAGAGGCUGGAGGAAUAAGGGACAAUAAGGAGGUCAGCUUUUGCGCCGACCUAUUUGAAUGAAGGGAAAUUCUUUGCGCGCCGCCUGGGCAAGAGUCUGUGGUUGUGCAUUCACUGGCUGAGGUCCAAAAUCUCCCUAAUAUGGAAGACUGAAAUAUGCCAGAAGAAAGACCUGUCUGGGAAGGACCUGGGUCCUCCCACCAAGGGGUCAGGGAUGGCCAAAGGGGUCUCCUAACGCAGCAGUCUACGUGUGCAGCUGCUGGGUUAAAGAGAUUUGGAAACCGCUGAACAUUCCUGCUGGGAUCUUGCCAAGCCCUGUUGGGAACCGGCUACAGUGCUUGUCUGGGGAAAUUAGUUUUGCACUUUCACAGAGUGUGAAAUUCCUCAGGGGCAUUCUUGUACUCGGGAAGAGAAAUCAAACCCAGCUCAUUCCUUCAGGGUCUUUGCCAUUAAUAAAGCAGACGGAAUCCAGUUCGCUGGGUCCAGCCUGGGGCCUGCGCUGGGCGGGGGCAGAAGCAGUCAAGUUUCACCUGUGGCAGAAGCCCUCCCCGAACCCGCGCAAGCUUGAGAUUUUAGGGGAUCCUGUUACCGGCUUAUAAACACCGUGAGUGACAGCCAGCGCUCCCAAGCGACCAUAGAGGAGCUCAAACCCUUCCUAUCUUCCUAGAAACCCUGGCUGCCCUGCCGGCUGCUUGCUGUCUGAUGCAACAGUUUGCAACGCAGCUCUGGGAGUCGAGCCCUGCCGUGGGGCGCCUGGCGCCGGACCGAAGCGCAUGCGCGGGCUGCAGCCCUGCCCCCGCCUGGCUGAUGGAGGUGGGGAAGCUUUUCUCCAGAUGUGCUGGAGGCGGGGCCCGGAGGGCGGGGAGACCUUGGGCAGCUCGCGCCAGCGAUCUGAGCUUAAUUAAACUUCUCCCGAGGCAUUGGCUGACUGAUUGACCCAGUGAUCCAAAAAAAAUCAGAGAGGCCCGAAUCGCCCCCAAACGCACUGGGAGAAUGAAGUGGAGGAGUUGGCUUUUGGUUUCCAGAGCUGGGCCUUUGGAUUCAACUUCCCUUCCCGAGCCUCCCAAUCUCAGAUGCAGUCGGGGUUCUAAAGCUCCUCAGUCAGGCCUCGUUGGCCUGUGGUUUAAUUUGAAGGAGGGAACAUGGCAUCAUAGGUUGUUUUUCAAAAUUAUCAACCAUUCAGGUAUUGUCUUUAUGAUUUUCUCUCCUACCCACAUUCCAUCAAUAUUAUAUCUUUAAUUUACUUUUUUAUUUUAUUAACUUUUUUUCUAAAUUAACUUUAAAUCGAUUCCC